ACGAACGCUGGCGGCGUGCUUAACACAUGCAAGUCGAACGAAGAGCGACGGAAGCUUGCUUCUAUCAAUCUUAGUGGCGAACGGGUGAGUGACGCGUAAUCAACCUGCCCUUCAGAGGGGGACAACAGUUGGAAACGACUGCUAAUACCGCAUACGAUCUAAUCUCGGCAUCGAGGAUGGAUGAAAGGUGGCCUCUACAUGUAAGCUAUCACUGAAGGAGGGGAUUGCGUCUGAUUAGCUAGUUGGAGGGGUAACGGCCCACCAAGGCGAUGAUCAGUAGCCGGUCUGAGAGGAUGAACGGCCACAUUGGGACUGAGACACGGCCCAGACUCCUACGGGAGGCAGCAGUGGGGAAUCUUCCGCAAUGGACGAAAGUCUGACGGAGCAACGCCGCGUGAGUGAUGACGGCCUUCGGGUUGUAAAGCUCUGUUAAUCGGGACGAAAGGCCUUCUUGCGAAUAGUGAGAAGGAUUGACGGUACCGGAAUAGAAAGCCACGGCUAACUACGUG
Molecule: ribosomal RNA, 509 nt
Filed under: uncultured bacterium
Lineage: Bacteria
Description: partial 16S ribosomal RNA
Rfam family: Bacterial small subunit ribosomal RNA
Source: RNAcentral